GCUUUCCAAAAUGCCCUAGGAAGAACAAGCUCAAGAGAAAUUACCCAGCAGGUGACAAGAAAGAGAAAGGAUAUUUCCAAUAAAAGAGAAAAUCUGAUCAUCUCAGAUCAACUUAUUCACUGCUGUGUUACCAAUUUGGAUCCAAACUGAUAGGCAGGCAUUUUAAGUUGGGCUUUGUGAACUUAUGUGCUAAGUCAACACAUAUAUGUGGUCUUCUGCUGUUUUGUUAAGAAUCUUGUGUUCAAAAGUUGGAUUCCUAUGGAAUUAAUAAAGCAACAGCCACUCAGGGAAAUAAUUCACACAAGAAGGUUUUGCACCAAGUUGAACCAUGAGAUGGUUAAUGAUACAAGAAAUAAGAACACUAUUCAACAUCCAAGUUGAAGUGCAUGUACAUAGAGAACAUGGAAUGAGAAAGGAUCUCCUAUAUCAUUGUAUCGAGCCUCUGGAAACCCCAAAGCCAGCCAAUAAAAUACUUCAACACAGAAACAGAAGCCAGACCAAAAGGAAAAAUGCAAAUAUACAAAAACAUCCAGCCGCUAAAAUGUAUUGGUCGGACAGCGUUCAGCCACACAACACUUGGAUAGUCAGAAAUUACAAAAAGAGAAGUACAAAUAUGGAAAGUACCUACCUGAGUACCAAUGAAGCAAACUUGGAUAUUUCAAAGACGAUGUUUCAUUUCUCUUUUGUCUGAGAUCAAUGCACUCAUUCGGCUUAUUGCUCAGUCGUACCACUACAGGGCAUGUACAGGAACUGCACCAUAAGAUUUGAUUAUUCUAUUCUACUCGUGGACUGAGUACCAAAUCUACACAUACACAAAAAUCCUUACAACAGAGAUUCAAUCCUUACAAUAAAACCCAGUGAAUAGGCA
Molecule: long non-coding RNA, 868 nt
Filed under: Numida meleagris (helmeted guineafowl)
Lineage: Eukaryota; Metazoa; Chordata; Aves; Galliformes; Numididae
Description: lncRNA (ENSNMEG00000010509.1)
Source: RNAcentral